Molecule: long non-coding RNA, 421 nt
Filed under: Nicotiana benthamiana
Lineage: Eukaryota; Viridiplantae; Streptophyta; Magnoliopsida; Solanales; Solanaceae
Description: long non-coding RNA (NBEN_LNC005586)
Source: RNAcentral
UAGGGGAAAACACUUGAAAAGUCAAGUGGAGCAUAGAUUCAGCAUAGAUCUAGGCAAACAAACAAAGAAAGAACCUCGAAUAGCUUAGGAUUCAUAGAAACCCUUGAAAUGAGAAAGUCUUGGAAGACAUCAGAUCCUGAGUCGAACAGGUCAAGAAUCAGGUCUUUAAUACUUGAAUAUGCCAGAGCGUGAUCGGAGAAACCAUAGAGUAUAGAUUUUAGACGGAUCUGAAACAGGACAUCGAGGUAUAGUCUCCAAACUUCAAGCAACUCAGGCUUAGUGGUGAGAGAGGGUGAGUAGAAGCCAUCCAUGGCCGGAGAUGCCAUGGAUUCAGUGGAAAGGAGGUUUAGAUAACGUGGGAAUCGAUUAGGAUUUCGAGGAGGCUAGAGAGCAUUUUGAGAGACGAGGGUUUCAAGGGAGG